CAAUAGCGUAUAUUAAAGUUGUUGCGGUUAAAAAGCUCGUAGUUGGAUUUCUGUUGGGAACGACCGGUCCGCCCAUUGGGUGUGUAUCUGGCUUGUUCUCGGCAUCUUCUUGGUGAACGUUGCUGCACUUGACUGUGUGGAGCGCUACCCAGGACUUUUACUUUGAGGAAAUUAGAGUGUUUCAAGCAGGCAUAUGCCUUGAAUACAUCAGCAUGGAAUAAUAAGAUAGGACCUCGGUUCUAUUUUGUUGGUUUCUAGAGCUGAGGUAAUGAUUAAUAGGGAUAGUUGGGGGCAUUCGUAUUUAACUGUCGGAGGUGAAAUUCUUGGAUUUGUUAAAGACGGACUACUGCGAAAGCAUUUGCCAAGGAUGUUUUCAUUGA
Molecule: ribosomal RNA, 380 nt
Filed under: uncultured eukaryote
Lineage: Eukaryota
Description: partial 18S ribosomal RNA
Rfam family: Eukaryotic small subunit ribosomal RNA
Source: RNAcentral